This 492-nucleotide ribosomal RNA is filed under the name uncultured bacterium. RNAcentral describes it as "partial 16S ribosomal RNA". It matches the Rfam family "Bacterial small subunit ribosomal RNA", at positions 29 to 507 of the family's 1533-position model. The record is from RNAcentral.
AGUGAACGCUGGCGGUAGGCCUAACACAUGCAAGUCGAACGGCAGCACAGUAAGAGCUUGCUCUUACGGGUGGCGAGUGGCGGACGGGUGAGGAAUACCUCGGAAUCUACUUUUUCGUGGGGGAUAACGUAGGGACACUUACGCUAAUACCGCAUACGACCUACGGGUGAAAGCAGGGGAUCUUCGGACCUUGCGCGAUUGAAUGAGCCGAUGUCGGAUUAGCUAGUUGGCGGGGUAAAGGCCCACCAAGGCGACGAUCCGUAGCUGGUCUGAGAGGAUGAUCAGCCACACUGGAACUGAGACACGGUCCAGACUCCUACGGGAGGCAGCAGUGGGGAAUAUUGGACAAUGGGCGCAAGCCUGAUCCAGCCAUGCCGCGUGGGUGAAGAAGGCCUUCGGGUUGUAAAGCCCUUUUGUUGGGGAAGAAAAGCAGCAGGUUAAUACCCCGCCGUUCUGACGGUACCCAAAGAAUAAGCACCGGCUAACUUCGUG